This 504-nucleotide ribosomal RNA is filed under the name uncultured bacterium. RNAcentral's name for it is "partial 16S ribosomal RNA". It matches the Rfam family "Bacterial small subunit ribosomal RNA", at positions 30 to 523 of the family's 1533-position model. The record is from RNAcentral.
AUUGAACGCUGGCGGCAUGCCUUACACAUGCAAGUCGAACGGCAGCAUGGAGAGCUUGCUCUCUGAUGGCGAGUGGCGAACGGGUGAGUAAAGCAUCGGAACGUACCGUGUAGUGGGGGAUAACGUAGCGAAAGUUACGCUAAUACCGCAUACGCACUGAGGUGGAAAGCAGGGGAUCGUAAGACCUUGCGCUAUACGAGCGGCCGAUGUCAGAUUAGCUAGUUGGUAGGGUAAAGGCCAACCAAGGCGACGAUCUGUAGCGGGUCUGAGAGGAUGAUCCGCCACACUGGGACUGAGACGCGGCCCAGAUUACUACGGGAGGCAGCAGUGGGGAAUUUUGGACAAUGGGGGCAACCCUGAUCCAGCCAUGCCGCGUGAGUGAAGAAGGCCUUCGGGUUGUAAAGCUCUUUCGGCCGGGAAGAAAUCGCACAGGCUAAUACCCUGUGUGGAUGACGGUACCGGCAUAAGAAGCACCGGCUAACUACGUGCCAGCAGCCGCCGUAA